GCCCCCAUCGUCUAGCGGCCCAGGACGCCACCCUUUCAAGGUGGAGAUCGCGGGUUCGAAUCCCGCUGGGGGUACCA
Molecule: transfer RNA, 77 nt
Filed under: Acidobacteriota bacterium
Lineage: Bacteria; Pseudomonadati; Acidobacteriota
Also listed under: 4 other names
Description: Acidobacteria bacterium tRNA-Glu
Rfam family: tRNA
About the family: Transfer RNA (tRNA) molecules are approximately 80 nucleotides in length. Their secondary structure includes four short double-helical elements and three loops (D, anti-codon, and T loops).
Source: RNAcentral